Lepisosteus oculatus (spotted gar) is the source of this 119-nucleotide ribosomal RNA. The record is from Ensembl. Lineage: Eukaryota; Metazoa; Chordata; Actinopteri; Semionotiformes; Lepisosteidae.
UCUAGUAGCCAUAUCACUCUGCAACUCACAAGUGGCAACCCACUGAAGCUAAGCAGGUGUGAGCCUGGUCAGUACCUGGAUGUGAGACCACCUGGGAAAAACUAAGGCUGCUGCUGGAA